AGCUUUGCACAGUGGCAGUAUCGUAGCCAAUGAGGUUUAUCCGAGGCGCGAUUAUUGCUAAUUAAAUUGCCUGUGUUUGCAAAGUGUUAUAAGAAAGAAAUGGGCAUGGGUCUAGAAUGUAUUAUGCUAAGGGAAAUAAGUCAGAGAAAGACAAAUACCAUAUGACUUCACUCAUAUGUGGAAUUUAAAACAAAA
RNAcentral lists this small nuclear RNA (195 nucleotides) under Zalophus californianus (California sea lion). RNAcentral describes it as "U4 spliceosomal RNA (ENSZCAG00015007314.1)". The stretch from base 1 to 68 matches the Rfam family "U4 spliceosomal RNA". The record is from RNAcentral. Lineage: Eukaryota; Metazoa; Chordata; Mammalia; Carnivora; Otariidae.